Hemicordylus capensis (graceful crag lizard) is the source of this 1517-nucleotide long non-coding RNA. RefSeq lists it as uncharacterized. The transcript has 3 exons. NCBI's taxonomy places the organism in Eukaryota, Metazoa, Chordata, Lepidosauria, Squamata, Cordylidae. The record is from RefSeq and is a predicted model, not a curated record.
UUUCUAUCUUAAAUAUAUUUUAAUGUUGGAGAGCAUCUUAAAAAGUCUGAAGUGGUGCAGUCCAUUCUAUCCCCUCUCGGCACUGUACCUCUGGAUCUGCUGCGUGUGUAGACCAGGCCGCAAAUAACUGAGAUAACGAGACCUGCUGCAGGUGGAGUUUUUUCACGUGUCUAGAAAAGGAUCGUUUUUUUCACGAGUUCUAGAAAAGGAUCAUGGCUCAAGGGUGUGAGCAGACGUUCAUGUGUCUGAUAUUCGCUGUGUUUUGGCUACUCGUAUUGUUCUUUAUUGGAUGGCCGUUGAGCAUUUUUGUAGGAGGACUGUACGGACUACUCGCUCCUAUCACUACCAUUUUAGGACUAGAUGACGUCUCUGAAGCAAUGUUGGUUGGAGUAAACGUGGGGAGAACAUGUGCUAAGAAUGCCCGUGAGGGAAAGAAGCUCUGUUAAUAACGAAGACUACCACAGUAAUCCACAAAGCAUUCUUCUGUGUCCUGCACUGGUUUUUACAGCUGUUUGAUUUAGCAAAAGUGUUCCCGUUUCUAAUAGUUAUUCAUUUGUUAGAUUUACAAAAUGAUUUACAUUUGGCAUUCGGUGAAAAGUAAAUGUUGACUUUUAUUGGAAAAUUUUAUGUCACUUUAUUUUGUAAGCUAAUGUACUGAAUUAGAGCUAUAUAUAUUCCAGAUUUCAGUCAGAUCUGGGUUAGAUUAGAAGAUAAAAUUCUCGAGCCUUGAGGAUUCAGGAACUCAGACACAAACAUAUUUGUAGUAUCCACAACUCAUAUUUAUCUAAUCCAGACCCUUACUCAGACAGAGAAAUAGUGAUGAAAUUUGAAAGCCUGUGAUAGGGAACAUUGGUUUUCUAGCUUUUGCUUUGUCACAUCAAGUUCAGAGCUGAGUCACUCAUUGGACUGCUUCAGACAUCAUGCGGACAGAAGAUUAAACCUUGGCUUCAUGUGACUUCCCUAAGCCUUGGAAGCAUGGACUCCCCUUCUCUCUACUUCUGAUUGUGGUGAGAAAGAAGCCAGGAUCACUCAUGAUGUCCAAACGGACCAAUCCCGGCUUAAUUCUAUCCAAAAUUGCAAAAUAAAACAAAAUAAAGCUUCAGACAAGUUUGAAGUUAGGUUCAGAUGAUGAUUUAUUUUGCAACUUUGGAUAGAAUUAAGCUGAGAUUGAUCAAUUCAGAUUUCAUAAACAAUCCUGGUUUCUUUCUAAACACAAUUGGAAACAGGCUUGUGCGGGUGAGGAGCACACACCUGAAGCUUGGGGAAGUCACACAAAUCCAAAGUAUGAUAUUGGCUUUGUGUGAUAUCUGAAGUCACCUGUUGAAGCCAAUAUUUCAUUGCUACAUCGUUCCUAAUGUCUAAAUGUAUCUGUAUUAAUUACAAUUCUGUUUAAUUAACGUUAUUGUUUUAUUGAGAAUGUGCUUUAAAAGCAUCCCCUUUGUAUGAGUUAUGUAUAAAUAUUGUUGUUGGAAAAUGUUUAUGCAUUGCUAUAAUAAAUAGAUAUGAAAGCAACUUCA